UUGCUAUCUGCGAUAUGGAAGAUUCGAACCUGCCGCAGGUUCGGGUCUCACGUAGUGAGACGAACGGAGCCGCUUGCGGCGACGGCCCGAAGGGCGAGCAAAGCGAGUCAUCCUGCACGACCCACCA
RNAcentral lists this small RNA (127 nucleotides) under Salmonella enterica subsp. enterica serovar Typhimurium. RNAcentral describes it as "RtT RNA". It matches the Rfam family "RtT RNA". From Rfam's summary of the family: This family represents a bacterial cis-regulatory element known as RtT RNA. The record is from RNAcentral. Lineage: Bacteria; Pseudomonadati; Pseudomonadota; Gammaproteobacteria; Enterobacterales; Enterobacteriaceae.